AGUGAACGCUGGCGGUAGGCCUAACACAUGCAAGUCGAACGGCAGCACAGUAAGAGCUUGCUCUUACGGGUGGCGAGUGGCGGACGGGUGAGGAAUACAUCGGAAUCUACUUUUUCGUGGGGGAUAACGUAGGGAAACUUACGCUACUACCGCAUACGACCUACGGGUGAAAGCAGGGGAUCCUCGGACCUUGCGCGAUUGAAUGAGCCGAUGUCGGAUUAGCUAGUUGGCGGGGUAAAGGCCCACCAAGGCGACGAUCCGUAGCUGGUCUGAGAGGAUGAUCGGCCACACUGGAACUGAGACACGGUCCAGACUCCUACGGGAGGCAGCAGUGGGGAAUAUUGGGCAAUGGGCGCAAGCCUGACGCAGCCAUGCCGCGUGGGUGAUGAAGGCCUUCGGAUUGUAAAGCCCUGUUAUUAGGGAAGAAAAAAUGUAUAAGAAUAUACGGCCGUCUUGACGGUACCUAAAGAGAAAGCACCGGCUAACUACGUG
RNAcentral lists this ribosomal RNA (492 nucleotides) under uncultured bacterium. RNAcentral's name for it is "partial 16S ribosomal RNA". It matches the Rfam family "Bacterial small subunit ribosomal RNA", at positions 29 to 507 of the family's 1533-position model. The record is from RNAcentral.